GAGGGUACAGCUUAGUGGUAGAGCACGUGCUUAGUUUGCAGGCGGUCCUGGGUUCAAUUCCCAGUACCUCCA
Molecule: transfer RNA, 72 nt
Filed under: Camelus bactrianus (Bactrian camel)
Lineage: Eukaryota; Metazoa; Chordata; Mammalia; Artiodactyla; Camelidae
Also listed under: 1 other name
Rfam family: tRNA
About the family: Transfer RNA (tRNA) molecules are approximately 80 nucleotides in length.
Source: Rfam by way of RNAcentral